GAUUUGUCUGGUURAUUCCGAUAACGAACGAGACUCUGGCCUAUUAAACUUGACACUGUCAGUCUCUUAUGACUGCGGUGCGCUUCUUAGAGGGAUCAUCGGCGUCCCAGCCGAAGGAAAGGGAGCAAUAACAGGUCUGUGAUGCCCUUAGAUGUUCUGGGCUGCACGCGUGUUACACUGAAGUGGUCAGCGCGCCGUUCAACACCCCUCUCCGUGAGGAGCUUGGGCAAACGUUUGAACCCUUUUCGUGAUGGGAAUUGGGGGUUGCAAUUGUCCCCCAUGAACGAGGAAUUCCAAGUAAGCGCAGGUCACUAGCCUGCGUUGAUUAAGUCCCUGCCCUUUGUACACACCGCCCGUCGCUACUACCGAUGGAUGAUUUGGUGAGGUCGCCUAGACUGGCUGCUGGCUUCGGCCGUGCGGCCGGGAAGACGCCCAAACUUGGUCGUCUAGAGGAAGUAAAAGUCGUAACAAGGUUUCCGUAGGU
This 484-nucleotide ribosomal RNA is filed under the name Balanus balanus. RNAcentral describes it as "SSU rRNA". It matches the Rfam family "Eukaryotic small subunit ribosomal RNA", at positions 1319 to 1830 of the family's 1831-position model. Lineage: Eukaryota; Metazoa; Arthropoda; Thecostraca; Balanomorpha; Balanidae. The record is from RNAcentral.